ACAGAAGGAAAGAAAAGGAAGCGAAUCCUGCUGCCUGCAUCUCAAUAACUCUCGGGCAUUCUUUGCCAUGUGUCAAAGACCUGCUGAUCUGUUUAGUGACAUGAAGCCCCAAGGUGGACACUCCUAGAAACCCAAAUAGAUUUCCCCCUGAAUCAACUGCUGAACCCCACAAGGGAUAAUGUGUAGCAGGAACAAUGCACAGUUAUCCUCGGCCAGGAGGAGGGGAUGUUGUGAAUUUCUAACCGGACUGACUGAUGGAUUUUAUGAAUUUGCGUUGCAGUAUAUUACAAGUGGACUUUCAGGUGGGAAUCUCAAUAAUUGUAACACCAAACUCUGACAGAAUUACUCAAUUCAUCAGGACCUGGAUAUUCGCAUUAUAUUUCCACAAUUUUACUUCUGCACUGUUCUUAGUCUUUCGAUCCCUCUGAAAGACUGAGUUACAGAUCUAUACAAAACCUGUCCUUCCUCCCUGGCUCUCCCACCUCUCUUUCAGGAGUUUUGUGCAAACACUGACUGGAUCCCUUACCUGGAGGAUAUUUAUUUAUGAAUUUGUUCUAAUGAUAAUCCAGCAUAUUCCCCAAGUAUCACUCCACAAAUGUCCAGAGGAUUUCUCAGUUUCACAGUCUGUGUGUUCUUCUGGUUCCUCGCUCACUGCACUCGCUUUCUGUUUGAAAGCUUAGUCUACAGUUGGAGAAUUCAAACAGGAACACAUCCAGAUCUGACAGUCACUUUGUUUAUCACAACUCAACUACCUCAGGAUUUUGAACACUGAAGGAAAAAGCAACUCUCACAGUGGGGAGAAAUGCACAUGAUCUGUGAAGAUUCAUCUGAAAUGUCCUUCCACCAGCUCAGUGACACUGGGGAGAGACCAUUCACCUGCUCUAAAUGUGGGAAAGCAUUCACUUAGUCAUCCAAACUGUUAACACACUAGUGAGUUCACAAAGAAGCACAGUUGAAGGAUUUUGCUGUCACUCUCACUAUCAAAUGAACCAUGGUUUUGGGCUGUUUGUACUGAUGUUACUGAUCCCUGCUCAAUUAAAGGUACUGGUAUUGUGGAUAAAA
Molecule: long non-coding RNA, 1062 nt
Organism: Stegostoma tigrinum
Lineage: Eukaryota; Metazoa; Chordata; Chondrichthyes; Orectolobiformes; Stegostomatidae
Exons: 2
Source: RefSeq, a predicted model, not a curated record